This 1168-nucleotide long non-coding RNA is filed under the name Rhinolophus ferrumequinum (greater horseshoe bat). RNAcentral describes it as "lncRNA (ENSRFEG00010012667.1)". Lineage: Eukaryota; Metazoa; Chordata; Mammalia; Chiroptera; Rhinolophidae. The record is from RNAcentral.
AAAAAAAAAAAAAAAACAACUCCAAAGGAAGUAUAAGAGUAAAACAUAGUUUUUAAAUAGUAAUCAGCCUGGAAGAAGCUAAAGACACAAAUGACCCGGGAGACUGAGUUCAGAAGACUGAGUCAAGGAAAAGAUCGACCCUCAUAGGUAUUUAUGUCAGCAAAACAAUGACUCUCCCUUACAGAAAACAAGACUUCACAUCAAAGAGAAGAAGACAUCUGUGACAAGUGGAAGUUCACUGAUGACAGAGAGUGGCAGAGUAGCCACAUCUUGUCUCCACCUGGGGAGUAAUGUGGAGGGUUCCAGAGUGUCCCCCUCCGUGCAGUGCAGUGACUGCUCCGUGAUGCCCUCUGCUUCAGGCUGUCCGUGCUCUGGAUGCCCCGAGCACGAGGACUGGCUGCUGCCUUUGCCCCGCUGGGGACGGCAGCGCAGAGCUCAGACACAGGCGGCUGCUCAGGGGUCCACGGAACACCCCAAGGACGCCGCAACACGCGCCUGUCGCUGGCCCUCUCCUGGACUCUGACGGCCUGCACGGGUCACACGCAGGGAGGGGCGUUGCCAGGAGACCUCAACGUGCUUCCGAUCAUGCGCAGAUCAGGAGAGCUGAGAAGAAAAGACAGUCCAUCUGCAGACCCACUGCGUGAACUUGACCAGGUCAGAGGCGGCCACCAGAUACUAAUUGCAACAGAACAUGAUGCACCUCAUGAGAAAAACAGUGAGUGCGCUGAAUGAAAUUGAAACAUGGAGCCAGGAGGACAGUGUCCCCCUGGCUUCUUGGGACGUGCCCUGGGUUGCCAGAAGGUCAUCUGGAGACAGGACAUCUGGAGGCAGGAAAGACCAAAGACCCUGGGACCCCACUGGGCUACAAUGGGAAUGGAUGCCUGGGGGGGUAACCCUGGUGGUUCCUCCCAAAGGUCUUCUGACGUGUCUGGGUUUAAGAGCCAACAAUCGAUGAGAAAUUGAGAAAGUGAAUGAGUUGUAACCUGAGGGUGCUCUAAAACCACUAUUUGGGGAGUCUGUUACAGUUUUUCCACAUUUAUGUAUUGAGUGCAUAUUAGUCAGGCACUGUGCUAGGCAAGGGAUACAAUAGAGUGCAGGAGAGAGACACAAAUAUACAUAUAUAUUAUUUAUAUAUGUCAUAUGUUAUAUAUAAAUAAUAUAUAAAUAC